GAUGAACGCUGGCGGCGUGCCUAAUACAUGCAAGUCGAGCGAACGGACGAGAAGCUUGCUUCUCUGAUGUUAGCGGCGGACGGGUGAGUAACACGUGGAUAACCUACCUAUAAGACUGGGAUAACUUCGGGAAACCGGAGCUAAUACCGGAUAAUAUUUUGAACCGCAUGGCUCAAAAGUAAAAGACGGUCUUGCUGUCACUUAUAGAUGGAUCCGCGCUGCAUUAGCUAGUUGGUAAGGUAACGGCUUACCAAGGCAACGAUGCAUAGCCGACCUGAGAGGGUGAUCGGCCACACUGGAACUGAGACACGGUCCAGACUCCUACGGGAGGCAGCAGUAGGGAAUCUUCCGCAAUGGGCGAAAGCCUGACGGAGCAACGCCGCGUGAGUGAUGAAGGUCUUCGGAUCGUAAAACUCUGUUAUUAGGGAAGAACAUAUGUGUAAGUAACUGUGCACAUCUUGACGGUACCUAAUCAGAAAGCCACGGCUAACUACGUGCCAGCAGCCGCGGUAAUACGUAGGUGGCAAGCGUUAUCCGGAAUUAUUGGGCGUAAGCGCGCGUAGGCGGUUUUUUAAGUCUGAUGUGAAAGCCCACGGCUCAACCGUGGAGGGUCAUUGGAAACUGGAAAACUUGAGUGCAUAAGAGGAAAGUGGAAUUCCAUGUGUAGCGGUGAAAUGCGCAGAGAUAUGGAGGAACACCAGUGGCGAAGGCGACUUUCUGGUCUGUAACUGACGCUGAUGUGCGAAAGCGUGGGGAUCAAACAGGAUUAGAUACCCUGGUAGUCCACGCCGUAAACGAUGAGUGCUAAGUGUUAGGGGGUUUCCGCCCCUUAGUGCUGCAGCUAACGCAUUAAGCACUCCGCCUGGGGAGUACGACCGCAAGGUUGAAACUCAAAGGAAUUGACGGGGACCCGCACAAGCGGUGGAGCAUGUGGUUUAAUUCGAAGCAACGCGAAGAACCUUACCAAAUCUUGACAUCCUUUGACAACUCUAGAGAUAGAGCUUUCCCCUUCGGGGGACAAAGUGACAGGUGGUGCAUGGUUGUCGUCAGCUCGUGUCGUGAGAUGUUGGGUUAGGUCCCGCAACGAGCGCAACCCUUAAGCUUAGUUGCCAUCAUUAAGUUGGGCACUCUAAGUUGACUGCCGGUGACAAACCGGAGGAAGGUGGGGAUGACGUCAAAUCAUCAUGCCCCUUAUGAUUUGGGCUACACACGUGCUACAAUGGACAAUACAAAGGGCAGCGAAACCGCGAGGUCAAGCAAAUCCCAUAAAGUUGUUCUCAGUUCGGAUUGUAGUCUGCAACUCGACUACAUGAAGCUGGAAUCGCUAGUAAUCGUAGAUCAGCAUGCUACGGUGAAUACGUUCCCGGGUCU
RNAcentral lists this ribosomal RNA (1371 nucleotides) under uncultured bacterium. Its description in RNAcentral is "bacterial SSU rRNA". It matches the Rfam family "Bacterial small subunit ribosomal RNA", at positions 28 to 1381 of the family's 1533-position model. The record is from RNAcentral.